This 791-nucleotide long non-coding RNA is filed under the name Olea europaea subsp. europaea. The record is from RNAcentral. Lineage: Eukaryota; Viridiplantae; Streptophyta; Magnoliopsida; Lamiales; Oleaceae.
UGAAAGGCUAAUUAAUUUUAAGUCUUCCUUUCAAAUGCUGCACAGAAAGUUGAUAUCAGUUACAUUAAGUCGGCGAUCACGCCGAAGCAGGUAAAGAAACGACCCUGUAGCGUGUGUUUGUGUGUGUCCAUUCGAAUUCAUGCUGAAAAAUACGAUCUUAAAGGUGAUUAGUACUCUUGUAACUCUAACUUUGGUUAUCUUCUAUUACGUGUGGCCAUGGCAACAGUUGAUGAACGUACUUCGAAAACACUAUGAUAUUCUCGUCGGCGUUUUCAAUCUGGAGGGCUGGCUUGAGAUCACGCAUCCUUUCCAUCUUUAUACAAAAAUUUCUUUUUAAUUGGACUAUUUUCAAAAGCUGAGUAACUUGUUUCUUCCUCGAUUUGAUCAUUUCAGAUAUGUGGACGAUUCUUCGAGGAUAGGGAGGGACGACAAAGGAAAUAUCUUCAUCUUAGAGAGAGUCGAAGAUAAUAUAUCGUAAACUUCCAUCAAUUGAUUUGAUUUUUGGCAUGUUGAUAAUGGUUCAAGCAGCAUAUGAAGAGAAUUAAGGUGGAACUUUUGGGCUUCCUUUUCAUAUAAAUCGACUUCAUAUUCCUAUUGUCAAAAGGAAACCUUAACUAUGCAUUUCAACAUUAGAAACAUUUAUAGGUCAAUCUAGGGUUGGGAAUGGUCCCGUUAGAACCGAACCGAACCCGAAAUUUUUGGGUAUUUAGUAAAAGGAACUAUCGGGUCCAAAUUUAAUUAUGGAUUAGUUCAAGUUUGAUUCUAUUCGGUUCAGUUCAGUUCCAUUCGGU